GUGCAGCAGUCGCGAAAACUCCGCAAUACGCGAAAGCGUGACGGGGCCAUCCCGAGUGCCGUCCGCUGAGGAUGGCUUUUCCCUAGUGUAGAUAGCUGGGGGAAUAAGGAGAGGGCAAGUCUGGUGUCAGCCGCCGCGGUAAUACCAGCUCCCCGAGUGGUUGGGACGAUUAUUGGGUCUGAAGCGUCCGUAGCCGGCCGGAAAAGUUCCCCGUUAAAUCUGGCGAUCCAAUCGUUGGGCUGCGGGGAAUAAUCUUCGGCUUGUGGGCGAGGGAGGUCGGCGGUAGUCCCGGGGUAGGGGCGAAAUCCUAUAAUACCGGGAGGAACACCAGUGGCGAAGGCGGCCGACUAAAACGCGCCCGACGGUGAGGGACGAAAGCUGGGGGAGCGAACGGGAUUAGAUAUGAAGGUGAGU
RNAcentral lists this ribosomal RNA (414 nucleotides) under uncultured archaeon. Its description in RNAcentral is "partial 16S ribosomal RNA". It matches the Rfam family "Archaeal small subunit ribosomal RNA", at positions 330 to 745 of the family's 1478-position model. The record is from RNAcentral.